This 1657-nucleotide long non-coding RNA is filed under the name Homo sapiens (human). RNAcentral's name for it is "HSALNT0382600". The record is from RNAcentral. Lineage: Eukaryota; Metazoa; Chordata; Mammalia; Primates; Hominidae.
AAGAAGCGUGGACUCUUGUCCUGAGUGCACCGAGGCUUUCAGCCUGCGGGACAGUGGUGCGAUUUGCAUUAGAGCCUAUCUCCCAGGACUAUGGAAGCCCCAUGCAGGAACAUGGUUCUGACACUUUGGGGAUUAUACCCUAAGCUUAAAGGACUGGAAAAGCCCCUGAAGUCCCGAGACCACAACCCUCCACCUUCUAAAGAUAAGACAAGUCACUGAAGGUGGGUAUUGAUCCUAUUUUAAAAUAUUAUAUUUGCAAAGGACAACUGUUUGUCUCUCUUUUCACAGCUGAGCAAAGGAAAAUCCUCUGGGAAGGAGGCAAAUAAUGGAUAACUACUAUUUGGGGCCAGCUCCUGGUUUUGCUUGUCUAUGAUGAGGACUGUGCUAAUAAAUUACUGCCUUUCAGGUUUAAUCAACAUAUUUUGGGCACCUAGUUUUGCUGGAUAUGGCAUUAAGCAUCCUCACACAUUUCAGUUUGUUUACUCUUCUGCAAUAGUGAGAGGAGAGGUAAAUAUCCAGUUGAUAGACAACAAGGGCAGAUAUGGGGAAACCAAAGACAUGUUGCUAAGGCUGACUCUAUAUCAUCCAAACCUGGGAGAUUUGGGGAAUGAAAGAACUGAGCCCACAGACAAGAACCAGAUCAUCCCAGGGAAGCUGGGACUUAUGGUCACCCUGAAAAGAAAUGGCAGCUAGGCGACAAAACCCAUGUCUUCAGACUUAAGUCUAAAUCAGUUUAUAUUGGAUACGUAUUCAAUCUAAUACUUGUGGAAUUUGGAUUUAGUGGUAUGAAAAUAAACAUGGACAUAAGAGUAUGUUUCCUAAGUAAAAUGUUUCUAACAAGAAAUGUUCAGUUAUCAUUAUCUGUUGGAUGUUAGGCAAGACACUAAGCUUCUCUGCACUUCAGUUUUCUCAUCUUUAAAAAGGGGAAAAUAAUAGCAGUUACUUCAUGGGUUUACUAUAAGGAUUAAAUCAGUUACUACAGGUAGAAAAGUACUUGAUAUCUAGCACUAUUAAAUAAAUGUCACCUAUUAUUUUUAAUACUGUAUUUGUAAAGAUAUUUUGCAAAAUACAGUGGCUCUAAGAAUUUGACAGGAGGCGUAUUACUUUGUACCUCUCAAUUGCCAUGUAUUUUACUGAAUGAUUAUGAAGAGAAUGUUUUCUGGAUGUAUGGAAUAUCCCAAGUUCUUGUUUUUUGUUCGUUUGUUUGCUUGUGUUUUAACAAAUAGCACUAUUCUGGUCCAACAGGUAAAAUCAGCUCCUCAGUGUCUCCAAGGACAGGAAUGCCAUGGGCUGGGAGGCGCCAUGGGUGAACAGACUUCCCUACUUCCUGCCUCCCCAAGGGUGGGGAGCAGUCUAGGGGAUGGCUGUACUCCUGGGCCCAGUGUCUAAGUGAAAAUUAGGAGGAAAUGGAGGGAGGGUGGCGAGCGAGGACAGACUGGCCAAGGUCCCCCGCAGCCACUCCUGAAGUCCUCACGAGGGAGAAGCAGCCUCUCCUUCCAGCCUUCCCCAAGUCCUCCCUAAGAGUGUAUUCUACUGGUUUCUGUGCAGAUUUUUUUCGGCUGCGACCAAUAGUAGCUUAAACAUGGAUUAUUUUCUUUUUAAUUUCUUCCUGCAAAAUUCUUAGGAAACCAUUAAUAAAAGUAAUAUACAUGUGAAA